Molecule: ribosomal RNA, 324 nt
Filed under: uncultured eukaryote
Lineage: Eukaryota
Description: partial 18S ribosomal RNA
Rfam family: Eukaryotic small subunit ribosomal RNA
Source: RNAcentral
CCCUUAGAUGUUCUGGGCUGCACGCGCGCUACACUGAAGCUAUCAACACGUUUUCCCUCCCUGAGAAGGGCGGGUAACCUUUUGAAUCAGCUUCGUGGUAGGGAUCGGGGCUUGCAAUUGUUCCCCGUGAACCAGGAAUUCCUAGUAGACGCGAGUCAUAAGCUCGCAUCGAUUAAGUCCCUGCCCUUUGUACACACCGCCCGUCGCUACUACCGAUUGAACGUUUUAAUGAGGCAUUUGGACCGACGCAUCUCAGUUUAACCGCUGGUUUGUGUUGGAAAGACUUCCAAACUUGAGCGUUUAGAGGAAGUAAAAGUCGUAACA